UAUUGUAAAACAUAUAGAAGUAGUGUGAGGUUCUGUUCGGGUGAAGUUUGUUCUCAACCUGUAGUCAGUAAUGGUGUAACAGUGUUGAGCGAACCUGAUAUGCCACAUAUAGAUAUACUCCACAAACAGAUGCAAAGUUCCCAGUUAGAUGUUAGCUUGACUUACAAGAAGAGUAAUACCGAAGAUAGAGUGUGUUCUGUGGAGUCUACCAUAGAUCAAUAUAUGUGGAGUAUAACAGAUAAUAAACACAAUAGUCAUUUAUUUACUAAAUGGAGCAAAGUAAACAAUGUGCAGAAAAUCAGUGAGACAAUGAUUCAGUUUAGCAUUAAUUUAGACGGUGAAGUUGAUUUUAGUGAAUGUAGAAGAUUGGCUGUAAGAAUAUUUAAUAAAGCUGGUUUAUCAACAAUAAUAUCGUCGGAUAUUAAAAACUGUUCAGCUGUAGAUCCAGUAUUAAUUAUACCGGCUAUUGUUGUAGAUGCUAUAGGACAGCCAUUAAAUAACGGUGAGUACUUUUUGAUGUAACUUGGAAUUGAAAUAAAAGCGCGCA
This is a long non-coding RNA of Patella vulgata (common limpet), 547 nucleotides long. RefSeq lists it as uncharacterized. Lineage: Eukaryota; Metazoa; Mollusca; Gastropoda; Patellidae. The record is from RefSeq and is a predicted model, not a curated record. The transcript is spliced from 3 exons.